GACGAACGCUGGCGGCGUGCUUAACACAUGCAAGUCGAACGAAAAGGCCCUGCUUUUGUUGGGUGCUCGUGUGGCGAACGGGUGAGUAACACGCGAGUAACCUGCCCUUGACUUUGGGAUAACUUCAGGAAACUGGGGCUAAUACCGGAUAGAAGCUCCUGCUGCAUGGUGUGGGUUGGAAAGUUUCGGCGGUUGGGGAUGGUCUCGCGGCAUAUCAGCUUGUUGGUGGGGUAGUGGCUUACCAAGGCUUUGACGGGUAGCCGGCCUGAGAGGGUGACCGGCCACAUGGGGACUGAGAUACGGCCCAGACGCCUACGGGAGGCAGCAGUGGGGAAUAUGGCGCAAUGGGCGGAAGCCUGAUGCAGCAACGCCGCGUGCGGGAUGACGGCCUACGGGUUGUAAACCGCUUUCGCCUGUGACGAAGAGGGAGUGACGGUAAUGGGUAAGGAAGCAACGGCUAACUACGUG
RNAcentral lists this ribosomal RNA (468 nucleotides) under uncultured bacterium. RNAcentral's name for it is "partial 16S ribosomal RNA". It matches the Rfam family "Bacterial small subunit ribosomal RNA", at positions 28 to 507 of the family's 1533-position model. The record is from RNAcentral.